UAUGAUACAGCUCAGUGGUAGAGCGUUUGCCUGAUAAGCAAAAGGAUGUGGGUUCAAUUCCCUCUAUCGUAACCA
RNAcentral lists this transfer RNA (75 nucleotides) under Priestia megaterium. Its description in RNAcentral is "Bacillus megaterium tRNA-Ile". It matches the Rfam family "tRNA". Rfam says of the family: Transfer RNA (tRNA) molecules are approximately 80 nucleotides in length. Their secondary structure includes four short double-helical elements and three loops (D, anti-codon, and T loops). Lineage: Bacteria; Bacillati; Bacillota; Bacilli; Caryophanales; Bacillaceae. The record is from RNAcentral.